UGAUCUGUGAAACUAUUCAAA
This is a non-coding RNA of Caenorhabditis elegans, 21 nucleotides long. NCBI's taxonomy places the organism in Eukaryota, Metazoa, Nematoda, Chromadorea, Rhabditida, Rhabditidae. The record is from Ensembl.